CCUACGGGGGGCAGCAGUGGGGAAUAUUGGACAAUGGGGGGAACCCUGAUCCAGCGACGCCGCGUGAGUGAAGAAGUAUUUCGGUAUGUAAAGCUCUAUCAGCAGGGAAGAAAGAAAUGACGGUACCUGACUAAGAAGCCCCGGCUAACUACGUGCCAGCAGCCGCGGUAAUACGGAGGGGGCAAGCGUUAUCCGGAUUUACUGGGUGUAAAGGGAGCGUAGACGGCGAUGCAAGUCUGAAGUGAAAGGCGGGGGCACACCCCCUGGACUGCUUUGGACACUGGAUGGCUGGAGUGCAGGAGAGAUAAGUGGAAUUCCUAGUGUAGCGGGGAAAUGCGUAGAUAUUAGGAGGAACACCAGUGGCGAAGGCGGCUUACUGGACUGUAACUGACGUUGAGGCUCGAAAGCGUGGGGAGCAAACAGGAUUAGAUACCCCUGUAGUC
Molecule: ribosomal RNA, 443 nt
Filed under: uncultured bacterium
Lineage: Bacteria
Description: partial 16S ribosomal RNA
Rfam family: Bacterial small subunit ribosomal RNA
Source: RNAcentral